AAGGCUUUAAGUUAAACAAACUAAUAGCCUUCAAAGCUAUAAAUAUAAGAAAAUAAUCUUUUAGGCCUUA
RNAcentral lists this transfer RNA (70 nucleotides) under Propsilocerus paradoxus. RNAcentral's name for it is "tRNA-Trp". Lineage: Eukaryota; Metazoa; Arthropoda; Insecta; Diptera; Chironomidae. The record is from RNAcentral.